GAUGAACGCUAGCUACAGGCUUAACACAUGCAAGUCGCGGGGCAGCAUUCACUUAGCUUGCUAAGUGAGAUGGCGACCGGCGCACGGGUGAGUAACGCGUAUCCAACCUGCCCUUGUCCACGGGAUAACCCGGUGAAAACCGGCCUAAUACCGUAUGAGGUCACAAGCGGACAUCCAACUGUGACGAAAGGUUUUGCGGACAAGGAUGGGGAUGCGUCCGAUUAGCUUGACGGCGGGGUAACGGCCCACCGUGGCUACGAUCGGUAGGGGUUCUGAGAGGAAGGUCCCCCACAUUGGAACUGAGACACGGUCCAAACUCCUACGGGAGGCAGCAGUGAGGAAUAUUGGUCAAUGGGCGAGAGCCUGAACCAGCCAAGUAGCGUGCAGGACGACGGCCCUAUGGGUUGUAAACUGCUUUUAUAAGGGAAUAAAGUGAGAGUCGUGACUCUUUUUGCAUGUACCUUAUGAAUAAGGACCGGCUAAUUCCGUG
This 490-nucleotide ribosomal RNA is filed under the name uncultured bacterium. Its description in RNAcentral is "bacterial SSU rRNA". It matches the Rfam family "Bacterial small subunit ribosomal RNA", at positions 28 to 507 of the family's 1533-position model. The record is from RNAcentral.